ACGAAAGUCUGACGCAGCGACGCCGCGUGCGGGAUGAAGGCCCUCGGGUUGUAAACCGCUUUCAGCAGGGACGAAAGUGACGGUACCUGCAGAAGAAGCCCCGGCCAACUACGUGCCAGCAGCCGCGGUAAUACGUAGGGGGCGAGCGUUGUCCGGAUUUAUUGGGCGUAAAGAGCUCGUAGGUGGUUUGGUAAGUCGGAUGUGAAAUCUCCAGGCUCAACCUGGAGGGGUCAUUCGAGACUGCUAUGACUAGAGUUCGGUAGAGGAGUGUGGAAUUCCUGGUGGAGCGGUGAAAUGCGCAGAUAUCAGGAGGAACACCCGUAGCGAAGGCGGCACUCUGGGCCGAUACUGACACUGAGGAGCGAAAGCGUGGGGAGCGAACAGGAUUAGAUACCCUGGUAGUCCACGCCGUAAACGUUGGGCACUAGGUGUGGGGUUCUAUCGACGGAUUCCGUGCCGUAGCUAACGCAUUAAGUGCCCCGCCUGGGGAGUACGGCCGCAAGGCUA
RNAcentral lists this ribosomal RNA (507 nucleotides) under uncultured Actinomycetes bacterium. Its description in RNAcentral is "bacterial SSU rRNA". It matches the Rfam family "Bacterial small subunit ribosomal RNA", at positions 375 to 896 of the family's 1533-position model. The record is from RNAcentral. Lineage: Bacteria; Bacillati; Actinomycetota; Actinomycetes.